GGGGCCAGCAGGGGCAAAUGGGGGGCUUUCAGUCCAGGUGUCUGGGGGGCAACAAAGUGGGGCUGCCUCUGAUCUGCAGAAGUCAUUUUGGGGUCGGGCUGGACGUGACACUUGGGAAGUUAAAAGGCUUUACAGAUGGCAGACCGAUUUCUGUGCCAGCCGCAGAGAGGUUUACAACCCGGCCACUUUAUUAGGCACACCGCGCUAUUCAACGGCCACUUUAUUAGGUACACAUCAGUAAUCACCGGCCACUUUAUUAGGCACACCGCGCUAUUCACCGGCCACUUUAUUAGGUACAUCUUGGUAAUCACCGGCCACUUUAUUAGGUACACCUCGGUAAUCACCGGCCACUUUAUUAGGUACACCUCGGUAAUC
Erpetoichthys calabaricus (reedfish) is the source of this 375-nucleotide long non-coding RNA. RefSeq lists it as uncharacterized. The record is from RefSeq and is a predicted model, not a curated record. NCBI's taxonomy places the organism in Eukaryota, Metazoa, Chordata, Cladistia, Polypteriformes, Polypteridae. The transcript is spliced from 4 exons.